RNAcentral lists this ribosomal RNA (492 nucleotides) under uncultured bacterium. RNAcentral describes it as "partial 16S ribosomal RNA". It matches the Rfam family "Bacterial small subunit ribosomal RNA", at positions 29 to 507 of the family's 1533-position model. The record is from RNAcentral.
AGUGAACGCUGGCGGUAGGCCUAACACAUGCAAGUCGAACGGAAGCACAGUAAGAGCUUGCUCUUACGGGUGGCGAGUGGCGGACGGGUGAGGAAUACAUCGGAAUCUACUUUUUCGUGGGGGUUAACGUAGGGGAACUUACGCUAAUACCGCAUACGACCUACGGGUGAAAGCAGGGGAUCUUCGGACCUUGCGCGAUUGAAUAAGCCGAUGUCGGAUUAGCUAGUUGGCGGGGUAAAGGCCCACCAAGGCGACGAUCCGUAGCUGGUCUGAGAGGAUGGUCAGCCACACUGGAACUGAGACACGGUCCAGACUACUAAGGGAGGCAGCAGAAGGAGAAAUUGGGCAAUAGGCGCAAACCUUAUCCAGCCAUACCGCGUGAGUGAAAAAGGCCUUCGGGUUGGAAAGCCCUUUUGUUGGGAAAGAAAAGCAGCAGGUUAAUACGCCGCUGUUCUGACGGUACCCGAAAAAUAAGCACCGGCUAAGUUCGUG